AUCGGUGAUGGAUGGGGAUGCGUCUGAUUAGCUUGUUGGCGGGGUAACGGCCCACCAAGGCUACGAUCAGUAGGGGUUCCGAGAGGAAGGUCCCCCACAUUGGAACUGAGACACGGUCCAAACUCCUACGGGAGGCAGCAGUGAGGAAUAUUGGUCAAUGGGCGAGAGCCUGAACCAGCCAAGUAGCGUGCAGGAUGACGGCCCUAUGGGUUGUAAACUGCUUUUAUAAGGGAAUAAAGUGGGAGUCGUGACUCUUUUUGCAUGUACCUUAUGAAUAAGGACCGGCUAAUUCCGUGCCAGCAGCCGCGGUAAUACGGAAGGUCCGGGCGUUAUCCGGAUUUAUUGGGUUUAAAGGGAGCGUAGGCCGGAGAUUAAGCGUGUUGUGAAAUGUAGAUGCUCAACAUCUGCACUGCAGCGCGAACUGGUUUCCUUGAGUACGCACAAAGUGGGCGGAAUUUGUGGUGUAGCGGUGAAAUGCUUAGAUAUCACGAAGAACUCCGAUUGCGAAGGCAGCUCACUGGAGCGCAACUGACGCUGAAGCUCGAAAGUGCGGGUAUCGAACAGGAUUAGAUACCCUGGUAGUCCGCACGGUAAACGAUGGAUGCCCGCUGUUGGUCUGAAUAGGUCAGCGGCCAAGCGAAAGCAUUAAGCAUCCCACCUGGGGAGUACGCCGGCAACGGUGCAACUCAAAUGAAUUGACGGA
RNAcentral lists this ribosomal RNA (703 nucleotides) under uncultured Bacteroidota bacterium. RNAcentral describes it as "bacterial SSU rRNA". It matches the Rfam family "Bacterial small subunit ribosomal RNA", at positions 214 to 917 of the family's 1533-position model. The record is from RNAcentral. Lineage: Bacteria; Pseudomonadati; Bacteroidota.